CUCAGCGGGAGGCUGCCAGGGGCCUCCCCUGGGGGCCACAUGCCCUUGGCACAGAGGAGCUGCCCAGGUCCCAGGACUUCCAGUCUAGAGUCACCAGAGUCAAGCUGGGCGUGGGGGCGCACGCCUGUGAUCCCAGCACUCAUUUGGGAGGCUGAGGCAGGAAGAUCACUGAGACUUUGAGGCCAGCAUGAACUACAUGGCGAGACUCUGUCAGAAAACCAUCGCUGGAUCGAUCAUUUGAUUCAUCAGCAACGUCCUGGGCAAGUUGUGAGCUGACCAGACUGGUCCCUGAAUUGCCACAGGUGACACCCACGCCUCUCGUCUGCUGGCUCUGGCACGUGAAGGAGAGGGGCAGAUGGCAGCCAGGGGCUCCGGGAGCUCAUCCCCUGCUGGUGUGAAGUGAGACCCUAAGGGCAGCAGGGAGCUCACAGCCCAGCAGAGCAGCAAAGUGUGGCACGUUGCUGCUGGUUUUUAGUGUCCCCGAGGAUGGCUUUUGGUCACAGAGAAUAUCCCUGAAAGGUCUAUUUUGCCUCAGAUUUAAUAUUUGGUUUACAAACAUUACCAUUUCUAAAACUGGAUUCUUUCUUAAGCUUUUGACUUGUGCUUACUAAUGAGAGAAGGGACGGCACCUCCAUGUGGAAUCGGGCAACUAUGGGUUAACUGUGUUGUUGGACAACAAUGAUUAACGGUGUUAUUAGGUGACUUCGGGUGAACUAGGGAACUGUGCUUUUGUAGACCGCACCUGAGCAGCCAAGACAGCUUCUGUAAUCUGUCAUCAAAGGAGUGGCCCCAGUGGGCUCGGAAAGUCCUGCCAGACUCUGCUCUCCCCCCUCCGCUGCUCUGCUUUGCUAUAUUCCCAGGGAAGUUCCAAUGGAAUCAAGCUUCAUAGAUGUAAAAAGAGGUAGAUAAGGAAGCACAAACUUCUAUCCGGGCUCUCGAGACUGACAGGAGUCACUCGCUGAGCCACCGGCCUCAUUAAAAGCCGCUUUUUGCUCCUA
This is a non-coding RNA of Heterocephalus glaber (naked mole-rat), 998 nucleotides long. Lineage: Eukaryota; Metazoa; Chordata; Mammalia; Rodentia; Bathyergidae. The record is from RefSeq and is a predicted model, not a curated record.